UAUAAGGACUAGAGUAAUCUUGUUGUAUAUUCUGAUUCUAUAAUUAAUCAUUACACCAUUAUCCUACAUUCAGUUUAUGCAGACUAGGACACAGGGGCGGCGCCAGGGGGUAGCUUGGAGUUGCUAUAGCAACUCCAACAAUUGGCCUAGCAACGGCUUAGCAACCCCAUUGUUUUGUUAUGAAAAUAUAUCUAUAUAUACUUAUACACAUUCUCGCGAGAUCUAUCAGGGGUCUUUNUAAGUUAAAGCGCAAACUGUUACUUGGCUAAUGUUGUUAUAAUUCUCAGUAUGUGAACACAGAUCGAAAAU
Long non-coding RNA from Notothenia coriiceps (black rockcod), 309 nucleotides. RefSeq lists it as uncharacterized. The record is from RefSeq and is a predicted model, not a curated record. The transcript has 3 exons. Lineage: Eukaryota; Metazoa; Chordata; Actinopteri; Perciformes; Nototheniidae.